Molecule: long non-coding RNA, 556 nt
Organism: Astatotilapia calliptera (eastern happy)
Lineage: Eukaryota; Metazoa; Chordata; Actinopteri; Cichliformes; Cichlidae
Source: Ensembl
AUUUUUAUUCUGCAUGGCUGCUGGAAACAUCGUGUCACAUCUUUGAUUAAUUUCAUCUGAAAAUAAACAACCACAGAUCGCUCCAUCCAUUCCAUGGCUGAAGCAUACAUUUUCAUUUAAUCUGAACAGAUAUCCCAGAAAGAUGAAGCUGAGGAAGAGCUGCAGAGUAACCACCAUGGCACUCUUCAUCUUCAGGGACAACUCAAGCCUCCUACAUCAGCGUCGAGACAUCGGGAUAAUCAUUGAUGGUGUGGAAGUCCUGAAUGAGUUGCCUUCUGUGGCAGCUGGAGUGGCAAUGGUCUUUGGACUCUGUUAUGCUCUUAAAAUGGAAUAUCCACGAGGAUUCAGGUUCACCUUUGAGGCUCUUCAAAAGAUUAUGAUGGAGCUUGACUUUAACAAGAUGACCUCUAAGAUUCGCAAACUUAAUUGUGAACUUAACACUGCACAGUAGUGUGUUUGCAUGCAUGUGUGGAUGUGUAUGUGCACAUGCACAUGCAUGUGCAUGUGUGCUUGGUUAUUUUCUUGGUUGGCCUGCAGUGGUAUUCUACAUUCAAAA